RNA transcript from Rhopalosiphum padi (bird cherry-oat aphid), 1580 nucleotides. It is a transcript of the gene named cytochrome b-like, with no coding region annotated. The record is from RefSeq and is a predicted model, not a curated record. Lineage: Eukaryota; Metazoa; Arthropoda; Insecta; Hemiptera; Aphididae. The transcript has a single exon.
AACCAUAGCAAUUUUAUUAACUAUAAUAAAAUCACCAAUUAGAUCAAACUUAAUCAUUUUAAUUCAAACUAUAACUUUAACAUUAAUAAUUAAUAUAAUUACUAAAACAGCAUGAAUUUCAUUUAUAGUAUUUAUCUUAUACAUUGGAGGAUUAAUAAUUAUUUUUUUAUAUAUUUCAAGAAUUGCUUUUAAUGAAUUAAAUAUUAAUAAAAAUUAUAAAAUUAUAAUUUAUAAAUUAACAUUAAUUUUAAUGUUAAUCUUUUAUUUAAAAUUAAAUCUCAAUCUUGAAAAUUUCAAUUAUGAAAAUAAAUUUAUAUUUGAAGAUAAUUUUAAUUUAUUAAAUAUAUUCAUAAUACCAAAUAAUUUAAUAAUUUAUUUAAUUAUCUUAAUCCUUUUUUUUAUAUUAAUUUUAAUUAUUUGAAUACUAAAAAUUAAUAAAGGACCAAUUCGACAAAAAAAUAAUUAAUGAAAAAAAAUAUACUAAAAACUUUAUCCCCAAUAUUAAAUUUACCUACACCAGCUAGAAUUAGUUUUAUAUGAAAUUUUGGAUCUUUAUUAAUAAUUUGUUUAAUUAAUCAAAUUUUAACAGGAUUAUUUUUAGCCUUCCAUUAUAAAACAGAUAUUAAUUUAGCUUUUCAAAGAAUUAUUAAUAUAAAUCGAAAUAUUAACUUUGGAUGAUUAAUCCGAUCUUUCCAUGCAAAUGGGGCUUCUAUAUUUUUUAUUAUAAUUUAUAUUCAUAUUAGACGAGGUAUCUAUAUAAAUUCUUUCAACUUUAAAAUAACAUGAAUUAUUGGAGUAAUUUUAUUAUUAUUAACAAUAAUAACAGCAUUUGUAGGUUAUGUAUUACCAUGAGGACAAAUAUCAUUUUGGGGGGCAACAGUAAUCACAAAUUUAUUAUCAGCAAUUCCUUAUUUAGGAAAUUCAAUUGUUAUUUGAAUUUGAGGGGGAUUCUCAAUUAAUAAUGCUACAUUAACACGAUUUUUCUCAAUCCAUUUUAUUUUACCAUUUAUUAUUAUUUUAUUUACUUUUAUUCACUUAUUCUUUCUUCAUUUAACAGGUUCUAAUAAUCCACUAGGAAUUAAUAGAAAUUUUGAUAAAAUUACUUUUUCUCCAUAUUUUCUAAUUAAAGAUUUAAUUGGAUUAAUCAUAUUUAUAUGAAUAUUUUUUAUUUUAGCUUUAAUUUUUCCAUACCUACUAAAUGAUCACAAUAAUUUUAUUAUAGCAAAUUCAAUAAUUACACCAAAUCACAUUCAACCAGAAUGAUAUUUUUUAUUUUCUUAUUCAAUUUUACGAGCAAUCCCUAAUAAAUUAGGAGGGGUUAUUGCUUUAAUACUUUCAAUUUUAAUUUUAUUAAUCUUACCUAUAUUAAACAAUAAAAAUUUUUUAAGAAAUAAAUUUUACCCAUUAAAUAAAUUUUUAUUCUGAAUAUUUAUUAUAACAUUUUUUAUUUUAACCUGAAUUGGGAUACAACCAGUUGAAUACCCAUUUAUUACAACAGGGCAAAUUUUUACAACAAUUUAUUUUUCUUACUUUUUCAUUAACUUUUAUAUCAUAAAGUUAUGAGAUAAAUUAUUAAUUUA